ACCGCUGCCACCACCCACGCUCGAAACACACAAGAUCUAACAGAGAUUACAAACCACCAAUACAUAGCCUUCCAAUUCAGGCACUAAGUGAAAAAUGAAAAGUAUCCAGAGAAGCAAAGGAAGGAGUUGAGUGGAAUCCUCCAGUGUUUUUUUUCUAAGGCAAAAUAAUGACACAGAUAGAACUUCUAUUCAAAGAUAUGUAAAAAGACAAUUUGGCCUUGGAUCUCUGUAAACACGCUGUGUCAAACAAAAGGACACAGGCAUUAGAAAUGAAGUUAAAAUAUAGAAUAAAUGGUAAAGUUAAAAAAAAAAACAGAAGAAGACAUUUGAAAAAGUGUCUUGGUAUUCUCAAAAGAACAAGAAGCUAUCAAUGAAGAGAGCACUGAAGAUGGAAGAUAGAAUGACAUGGAGAAAAAAUUAUGAUGGUGAUAUCUUUCUUCUUGAAGUUCCUUCAUCUAGCUCCAAGGCAUCUUGACAGUUUCACAAGACUGAAACCAACAUGGCAGUAAGGCUGUAUUCCUUUUCAAGAGGCUCUGGGAUGAAUGUGCUUCUCACUCAUUCAGUGUGUUGUCAAAAGGGCAAUCAAUGCCUAUAGCCACCUUCAUUCUAAAGAGAGUAUUGGAAUAGCACCAGGGAAGGCAGCAGUUGCCCCAGGGAGAGGACUGCACUGCUAAAACCUGGAGCUGAUAACUACUGUCUACGAAACUGGCUAGAAAGUGGGUAAUAUCCUGAGAAACCCUAUGGCCAAAUGCAACCAUGUCUAAAAAAGGGAAUAUCACAUCUACAAAGCUUUCUUAUUCUUAUAAAGAUUAUGAAAAUAUUGGAGAAUCAGUAAGUAUCACAAGAUAGGAGAAGGAAAAGAAUGGAGGAAAAUACUGGGGGAGAAUUAAUAGAUGUCAGAAGAGGGGAAUAAAAGAAAAGAAGGAGGGAAAUACAUCGCAAUAAAAGCAUCUCUCAAAAAACUGAAAAAAAAAAAAACUCAAAUACAAAAGCUAACCUUGCGCCUAAAGGAACUGGAGAAAGA
This is a long non-coding RNA of Canis lupus familiaris (dog), 1024 nucleotides long. RefSeq lists it as uncharacterized. The transcript is spliced from 4 exons. NCBI's taxonomy places the organism in Eukaryota, Metazoa, Chordata, Mammalia, Carnivora, Canidae. The record is from RefSeq and is a predicted model, not a curated record.